UUCGGGGUACACGAGCGGCGAACGGGUGAGUAACACGUGGGUGAUCUGCCUCGCACUUCGGGAUAAGCCUGGGAAACUGGGUCUAAUACCGGAUAUGACCUGCUGUCGCAUGGCGGUGGGUGGAAAGAUUUAUCGGUGCGAGAUGGGCCCGCGGCCUAUCAGCUUGUUGGUGGGGUAAUGGCCUACCAAGGCGACGACGGGUAGCCGGCCUGAGAGGGCGACCGGCCACACUGGGACUGAGACACGGCCCAGACUCCUACGGGAGGCAGCAGUGGGGAAUAUUGCACAAUGGGCGAAAGCCUGAUGCAGCGACGCCGCGUGAGGGAUGACGGCCUUCGGGUUGUAAACCUCUUUCGACAGGGACGAAGCGUAAGUGACGGUACCUGUAGAAGAAGCACCGGCCAACUACGUGCCAGCAGCCGCGGUAAUACGUAGGGUGCGAGCGUUGUCCGGAAUUACUGGGCGUAAAGAGCUUGUAGGCGGUUUGUCGCGUCGUCCGUGAAAACUUGGGGCUCAACCCCAAGCUUGCGGGCGAUACGGGCAGACUUGAGUACUGCAGGGGAGACUGGAAUUCCUGGUGUAGCGGUGAAAUGCGCAGAUAUCAGGAGGAACACCGGUGGCGAAGGCGGGUCUCUGGGCAGUAACUGACGCUGAGAAGCGAAAGCGUGGGUAGCGAACAGGAUUAGAUACCCUGGUAGUCCACGCCGUAAACGGUGGGUACUAGGUGUGGGUUUCCUUCCACGGGAUCCGUGCCGUAGCUAACGCAUUAAGUACCCCGCCUGGGGAGUACGGCCGCAAGGCUAAAACUCAAAGGAAUUGACGGGGGCCCGCACAAGCGGCGGAGCAUGUGGAUUAAUUCGAUGCAACGCGAAGAACCUUACCUGGGUUUGACAUACACCGGAAACCUGCAGAGAUGUAGGCCCCCUUGUGGUCGGUGUACAGGUGGUGCAUGGCUGUCGUCAGCUCGUGUCGU
Molecule: ribosomal RNA, 973 nt
Filed under: Nocardia arthritidis
Lineage: Bacteria; Bacillati; Actinomycetota; Actinomycetes; Mycobacteriales; Nocardiaceae
Description: bacterial SSU rRNA
Rfam family: Bacterial small subunit ribosomal RNA
Source: RNAcentral